CAGUCGCCGCGGGAAUACGAAGGGGGCUAGCGUUAAUCGGAAUUACUGGGCGUAAAGCGUGCGUAGGCGGUUUGUUAAGUCUGCUGUGAAAUCCCCGGGCUCAACCUGGGAAUGGCAGUGAAUACUGGCAAGCUAGAGUGUGUCAGAGGAUGGUGGAAUUCCACGUGUAGCAGUGAAAUGCGUAGAGAUGUGGAGGAACACCGAUGGCGAAGGCAGCCCCCUGGGCCAAUACUGACGCUCAUGCACGAAAGCGUGGGGAGUAAACAGGAUUAGAUACCCCCGUAGUCCCUGUCUCUUAUAC
This 301-nucleotide ribosomal RNA is filed under the name uncultured bacterium. RNAcentral describes it as "partial 16S ribosomal RNA". It matches the Rfam family "Bacterial small subunit ribosomal RNA", at positions 509 to 807 of the family's 1533-position model. The record is from RNAcentral.